UGCUAGUCGUGCGCCUCCAGGCCACGGUGGAGGUGCGGCGCACAGCUCAGUAACACGUGGCUAACCUACCCUUGGGACGGGGACAACCCCGGGAAACUGGGGCUAAUCUCUGAUAGGUGAGGACUCCUGGAAUGGGUCCUCGCCGAAAGGGCGCCUAGACCAUGCUCCUAGGCGCUGCCCAAGGAUGGGGCCGCGGCCGAUCAGGUUGUUGGUGAGGUAACGGCUCACCAAGCCUAAGACCGGUACGGGCCGUGGGAGCGGUAGCCCGGAGAUGGACACUGAGACAAGGGUCCAGGCCCUACGGGGCGCAGCAGUCGCGAAACCUCCGCAAUACGCGAAAGCGUGACGGGGCCACCCCGAGUGCCGUCCGCUGAGGAUGGCUUUUCCCUAGUGUAGAUAGCUGGGGGGAAUAAGGGGAGGGCAAGUCGGGUGUC
This 434-nucleotide ribosomal RNA is filed under the name uncultured archaeon. RNAcentral describes it as "bacterial SSU rRNA". It matches the Rfam family "Archaeal small subunit ribosomal RNA", at positions 52 to 459 of the family's 1478-position model. The record is from RNAcentral.